AACGAACGCUGGCGGCGCGCCUAAUACAUGCAAGUCGAGCGAGAAGACGUAGCAAUACGUUUGUAAAGCGGCGAACGGGUGAGGAAUACAUGGGUAACCUACCCUCGAGUGGGGAAUAACUAGCCGAAAGGUUAGCUAAUACCGCGUACGCUCCUUGGACUUCGGUUCAGGGAGGAAAGCGAUACCGUGGGUAUCGCGCUCUUGGAUGGGCUCAUGUCCUAUCAGCUUGUUGGUGAGGUAACGGCUCACCAAGGCUUCGACGGGUAGCUGGUCUGAGAGGACGAUCAGCCACACUGGCACUGCGACACGGGCCAGACUCCUACGGGAGGCAGCAGUAAGGAGUAUUGCGCAAUGGGCGAAAGCCUGACGCAGCGACGCCGCGUGGGGGA
Molecule: ribosomal RNA, 389 nt
Filed under: uncultured bacterium
Lineage: Bacteria
Description: bacterial SSU rRNA
Rfam family: Bacterial small subunit ribosomal RNA
Source: RNAcentral